This 472-nucleotide ribosomal RNA is filed under the name uncultured bacterium. RNAcentral describes it as "bacterial SSU rRNA". It matches the Rfam family "Bacterial small subunit ribosomal RNA", at positions 355 to 825 of the family's 1533-position model. The record is from RNAcentral.
UGAGGAAUAUUGGACAAUGGGCGCAAGCCUGAUCCAGCCAUACCGCGUGAGUGAAGAAGGCCUUCGGGUUGUAAAGCUCUUUCAGACGGAAAGAAACGGUUACGGCUAAUACCCGUGACUAAUGACGGUACCGUAAGAAGAAGCACCGGCUAACUACGUGCCAGCAGCCGCGGUAAUACGUAGGGUGCGAGCGUUAAUCGGAAUUACUGGGCGUAAAGCGUGCGCAGGCGGUUUGGUAAGACAGAUGUGAAAUCCCCGGGCUUAACCUGGGAACUGCAUUUGUGACUGCCAGACUAGAGUGUAGCAGAGGGGGGUAGAAUUCCACGUGUAGCAGUGAAAUGCGUAGAUAUGUGGAGGAAUACCGAUGGCGAAGGCAGCCCCCUGGGCUAACACUGACGCUCAUGCACGAAAGCGUGGGGAGCAAACAGGAUUAGAUACCCAGGUAGUCCCUGAGCGGGCUGGCAAGGCGCAU